This 429-nucleotide ribosomal RNA is filed under the name uncultured eukaryote. RNAcentral's name for it is "bacterial SSU rRNA". It matches the Rfam family "Eukaryotic small subunit ribosomal RNA", at positions 592 to 1018 of the family's 1831-position model. The record is from RNAcentral.
CAGUAGCGUAUAUUAAAGUUGUUGCAGUUAAAAAGCUCGUAGUUGGAUUUCUGGUUUUUCACGUCUAGUCCGCUGCGGUAACGUAUGUCGAGUACCAGUUCGUGUUAGCCAUCCUUCUAGGGAACGGGUCUACUCUUCACUGAGUUGGGCACGGGUUCUAGAUCUUUUACUUUGAAAAAAUUAGAGUGUUUAAAGCAGGCUUUGCCGUGAAUACAUUAGCAUGGAAUAAUAAUUUAGGACUUCGAUUCUAGUUUGUUGGUUCUGAAAUUGAAGUAAUGAUUGAUAGGGAUAGUUGGGGGUGCUAGUAUUGAUUGGCCAGAGGUGAAAUUCUUGGAUUCAAUCAAGACUAACUUAUGCGAAAGCAUUCACCAAGGAUGUCUUCUUUAAUCAAGAACGAAAGUUGGGGGAUCGAAGACGAUCAGAUACCAU